This 465-nucleotide ribosomal RNA is filed under the name uncultured bacterium. RNAcentral describes it as "partial 16S ribosomal RNA". It matches the Rfam family "Bacterial small subunit ribosomal RNA", at positions 28 to 507 of the family's 1533-position model. The record is from RNAcentral.
GACGAACGCUGGCGGCGUGCUUAACACAUGCAAGUCGAACGGAAAGGCCCUGCUUGCCGGGUACUCGAGUGGCGAACGGGUGAGUAACACGUGGGUGAUCUGCCCUGCACUUCGGGAUAAGCCUGGGAAACUGGGUCUAAUACCGGAUAGGAGCCAUUUUUAGUGUGAUGGUUGGAAAGUUUUUUCGGUGUAGGAUGAGCUCGCGGCCUAUCAGUUUGUUGGUGGGGUAAUGGCCUACCAAGGCGGCGACGGGUAGCCGGCCUGAGAGGGUGGACGGCCACAUUGGGACUGAGAUACGGCCCAGACUCCUACGGGAGGCAGCAGUGGGGAAUAUUGCACAAUGGGCGCAAGCCUGAUGCAGCGACGCCGCGUGGGGGAUGACGGCCUUCGGGUUGUAAACUCCUUUCGCUAGGGACGAAGCUUUUUGUGACGGUACCUAGAUAAGAAGCACCGGCUAACUACGUG